CUAUUUUGGGUGAUUUGAAUAAAAAGAGCGACGAAGGUCGUAUCGUACACUAUGAAUCUCCAGCAAAUCCAGGACAACGAAUCUCCAUUGGUUAUAGUUCUCAAGUUGCAUGGAUUCAAAACGCCACCGUUCGUGACAACAUACUGUUUGGUAAACCAUACAAUGAGGAGUUUUACAAACAAGUGAUUCGAGCGUGCGCAUUGAAGGAUGACAUGAAAAUAUUUCCAAAUGGAGACCAGA
RNAcentral lists this non-coding RNA (240 nucleotides) under Foraminifera environmental sample. The record is from RNAcentral. Lineage: Eukaryota; Foraminifera.